This 708-nucleotide ribosomal RNA is filed under the name uncultured Thermoprotei archaeon. RNAcentral's name for it is "bacterial SSU rRNA". It matches the Rfam family "Archaeal small subunit ribosomal RNA", at positions 147 to 858 of the family's 1478-position model. The record is from RNAcentral. Lineage: Archaea; Thermoproteati; Thermoproteota; Thermoprotei.
UAAACCACGAUAGGUCACAAUUUCUGGAAUGGAUCAUGGCUUAAAUCUACAUGGCCCCUGGAUUGGACUGCGGCCGAUCAGGCUGUUGGUGAGGUAAUGGCCCACCAAACCUAUAACCGGUACGGGCUCUGAGAGGAGAAGCCCGGAGAUGGGCACUGAGACAAGGGCCCAGGCCCUAUGGGGCGCAGCAGGCGCGAAACCUCUGCAAUAGGCGAAAGCCUGACAGGGUUACUCUGAGUGAUUUCCGCUAAGGGGAUCUUUUGGCACCUCUAAAAAUGGUGCAGAAUAAGGGGUGGGCAAGUCUGGUGUCAGCCGCCGCGGUAAUACCAGCACCCCGAGUGGUCGGGACGAUUAUUGGGCCUAAAGCAUCCGUAGCCGGUUCUGCAAGUCUUCCGUUAAAUCCAGCCGCUCAACGGAUGGGCCGCGGAGGAUACUACAGGACUAGGAGGCGGGAGAGGCAAGCGGUACUCAGUGGGUAGGGGUAAAAUCCUUUGAUCCACUGAAGACCACCAGUGGCGAAGGCGGCUUGCCAGAACGCGCUCGACGGUGAGGGAUGAAAGCUGGGGGAGCAAACCGGAUUAGAUACCCGGGUAGUCCCAGCUGUAAACGAUGCAGACUCGGUGAUGGGCUAGCCUUGUGCCAGCCCAGUGCCGCAGGGAAGCCGUUAAGUCUGCCGCCUGGGGAGUACGGUCGCAAGACUGAAACUUA